CCAGCUCACAGCGUCCCAUAUCUGUGCCGGUUUCUUCCCACAUCCCAAUAACAUGGCAGUAGUAAGAUUUGGCUGUGUUAAAUUGCCCCUGAUGAGUGUGUGAAUGAUGACCUGCGAUGCACCGGUGUCUCACACUCAGCGUUCCCAGAUCCAUCACCACCCUGAGGAUGAAACACUCGCUGAAAUGAGACAAGCUGCUGCUGCUGAUGCCUCUGCUCAUUCCUGUGACGCUCGCUGAAGUUCUGGUGCUGCGUUUCCUAAGCUUCUUUUAGGUUACAUCAUAUCGCUGUUUUAUCAGAAGGAUGUGGUCGAGAUACAGCUGGUUAAAGAAAAAAAAACAACAAAAGCAACAAGGAACGUUCUUCAGAAAAUUCUGGCAAUUUAUGAGGGAGAUAGACUGCACCUCGGUGUGAGACCGACAAAUGAGAAGUUCCAGUAAAAAUGUUACAACACCUCCAUCUGGCCCCAUCUAAAAUUCAAGAACGGACAGCAGAGAGAGAGAGACGGGCAUGAAAAAAGCAUGGGCAGAGACUGAGGUGUGAAUGUGUUUCUUCAUGGGGCCUUGUGAUGGACAUCACAUCAUGAAUGAAUUCCCUCCUCACACCCAGUGCUCCUGGGAUUGGCUCAGCGUGACCCAGACCAGAAUUCCACUAGAG
Long non-coding RNA from Hemibagrus wyckioides, 656 nucleotides. RefSeq lists it as uncharacterized. The transcript is spliced from 5 exons. The record is from RefSeq and is a predicted model, not a curated record. Lineage: Eukaryota; Metazoa; Chordata; Actinopteri; Siluriformes; Bagridae.